RNAcentral lists this transfer RNA (88 nucleotides) under Legionella hackeliae. RNAcentral's name for it is "tRNA-Ser (GGA) (tRNA-Ser-GGA-1-1)". It matches the Rfam family "tRNA". Rfam says of the family: Transfer RNA (tRNA) molecules are approximately 80 nucleotides in length. Lineage: Bacteria; Pseudomonadati; Pseudomonadota; Gammaproteobacteria; Legionellales; Legionellaceae. RNAcentral also lists the same sequence under 9 other names. The record is from RNAcentral.
GGAGAGAUGGCCGAGCGGUUGAAGGCGCACGCCUGGAAAGUGUGUAUACGGCAACGUAUCGAGGGUUCGAAUCCCUCUCUCUCCGCCA